AAACAUUAAUUGAUUUCUGAUUCCGAUGGCUGGAUGUCAGGGAAGAGAGGUUAAAGUCCUCCGCUGCCCCGCAGCCGUGAAGGGAACGAAAGCCCGUAAAACAAAUGCCACUGUUGUGGGUAAUACCAUAAUGGGAAGGCGGGUAAGUAGGAAGCCCAAAGCCGGAAGACCUAUCCAGAACAUGAGUUCUAA
This 192-nucleotide non-coding RNA is filed under the name Nitrospirota bacterium. The record is from RNAcentral. Lineage: Bacteria; Pseudomonadati; Nitrospirota.